UUGCUUAGGCAGCAAAUACACUAAAAUUGGAAUGAUACAGAGAAAAUUAGCAUGGCCCCUCCACAGGGAUGACAUGCAAAUUCACAAAGUGUUUCAUAUUUGU
This 103-nucleotide small nuclear RNA is filed under the name Urocitellus parryii (Arctic ground squirrel). The record is from RNAcentral. Lineage: Eukaryota; Metazoa; Chordata; Mammalia; Rodentia; Sciuridae.